CUGGCAGCGUUGAGUUAGUAGGCAAGUCGCCACACUGCCGUUCCAAAUAAUCCCCUCUUUUUUUUCCAAAUAAGUGACCAGUUUCUGUAUUUGCGUGAGAAAAUGCUAUUUUAUCGGUUAUACAGAAAGCGAUAGUUGCGCCUCCAAUCGCACGUUUACCGUCGUAAUUUGCUAGCCGCGGAAGCAGAGCUUUCAUAACUUUAUAAUGGAAUUUUAUUCAUUAGUAAACACUCGGCUUCAACAGUCUUCCAUUUGGCUCAUAUAGGCGCCUUUUUUUUUUUUUUUUUUUUCGUUGCUGGCGCGCUGUUUGAAUAGUUGAAUAAAAGCAAUUGAGAAUCAAGACGAUGUUUGAAUUCAGACAGAAAAUGAGUUUAGUUCAUUUGUUACUCAUCAUAUGCCCUAUUUGUUACGCAACGCCCUACUGUUGUCAACAGCCAUAUGAAUAUACAGACUUUUUUGCGAUGCUAGAAUGUAAUUUAUUCAUUUGUAGAUAUAGAAAAGAAGAUCCUGGAUCUAAAUGUUGUGAAGGUUCAGGUAAAAAAAUGAGUAAAAAUAACACAGAUACAUAUGAAAAUAUCUUUCAAAUUACAAAGCCUCAUUUGAUCUGUCAGACUCUGGAAAGGAGACAAAGGACUGUGACUGGACACAUAGUGCUCGCUUGGUCUGUGCUUAAAGUGACGGAAACAUCUCCAAUUUUUGCAGUAGAGUCAAGGCAUACAAAUGAUGACAACUGGCAUUUGAUUGGAAUGGCCAAUGAAACAGUAGCAGAGAUAAGAAACCUCACUCUUGGAGAAAAAUACCAAUUUCAAGUGACUCCCCUUAUGUUCAGUGAUUUCAUAUUACAACCUGUAAAGUCAGAAUGGUUUACAAUACCUGCUAUAGGAUCCACCAUAAGUGCACCUGUAAAUGUACAUAUAUCUAGGUUUUCUCUGGUAGAUAAACGUGUUAAUGCUUUUGUGGAAUGGAAACCAUCUAAAGAAUUGCCUUGUGUAUACAGACUGCAUUUGUUACCUUCAAAUAAUCAUGAAGAUUAUGAUAAAAAAACAAUAUACUUGCCUAAAGAUAACUUGACUGCAGAUUUGGUUAGUUUGCUAUUUGAGACAAACUAUACACUUGUAGUAACUGGAUUGGAAAUGAGUGGCAUGCGAGGAGCUGCGAAAAAUGAGAGGUGGUUUGCUACACCAUCAUGCCUUAAGCUGACUGAAGGGAACUUCAGCCUUUGUGCACCUGGUUUUCCUCGAAACUUUACUGCUGAUUGGUAUCCAAUUACAUCUGAAGCUGUGCUGCGCUGGUUACCUCCUAAAUAUACUUCUGAAAAGAAUCCAGUAAAAUAUUACUAUCUUUCAGUUUCUGAACUUGGUGGGGUAGACCACCAUAUGAAUUUAGUUUUAGACUAUUGGCAUUUAAACACCACAAUUUCUGGUCUUAAGUAUAAUUCACAUUAUGUCUUUGAAUUAAAAGCUGUGAGUAUAGGAGGAAGUGGAAAAGCUACUGUGGUUAAAAUGAUAACAAGAAAAUUAAAAUCUAAGAAUAUUUCACAUUGGACAGAUAUACUUAAGUACAUUAUCCCACUUGUGCUAUUUUUGCUUCUGACCAUUGCUGGAUGUUUUUAUUUUUUAAAUAGGAGAAAACUUCUAGUGAAGGAAAAGUUUGUGGCAAAGCGUUCUGGUACUGCUGAUGUUCCUGCCCAUUUGCUGCCUUUCUUAUUACCUCUGAACAAAAUCGAAUUGUUGGAACCUCUAGGAGAAGGAGCAUUUGGUAUUGUUCAUAAAGGCAUCUUUCACAAGGGCAAAGACGAAGAACCAGUAGCAGUUAAAACAUUUAGAUCAGACAGCAUUACAAGGCAUCAAUUGCUUGAAGAAGUAGCUAUUCUGCAGGAUAUUGGAAGGCAUAACAGAAUUAUCAAACUUAUUGGAUUCACUUUGGACAUAGAUAGGAUGUAUUUACUUCUAGAAUUAUGUCCACUAGGAGAUUUACGCACUUGGCUUCUCAAUGUAUAUGAAAAGGUAAAGUACGAAAUUGAUCGUUGUACAAAAUUUCCAGUUACAGAUCGACCUCGACAAUACCCAAGUGUUGUGCGCAGUAGUUCCUUCUUAUCAUUUUCAAAAUGCUCUGCUUCUUAGGUUGGCAUAUAGUGGCUACACUGGUGGGAGCAGAAACAUCGCUUUAAUGUCACCAUCUUGAAUUUCCUCUGCAUCAUAUGUUGGAGCAUUAUCUAGCAACAAAACAGCUUUUCUGAAGCAAACACGUAAUUAUGGGAAAAAAUUAGGCAUAUUUAUUUACCAAGUUGCUGAAGGCAUGGAAUAUUUAUCUUCUCUCAAAAUGAUUCACAGAGAUAUAGCUGCUCGUAAUAUUUUGUUAGAGACUGAAAAUUCU
Molecule: unclassified non-coding RNA, 2376 nt
Filed under: Stegodyphus dumicola
Lineage: Eukaryota; Metazoa; Arthropoda; Arachnida; Araneae; Eresidae
Description: insulin receptor-like, transcript variant X2
Source: RNAcentral